GUGGGGAAUCUUGCGCAAUGGGCGAAAGCCUGACGCAGCCAUGCCGCGUGAAUGAUGAAGGUCUUAGGAUUGUAAAAUUCUUUCACCGGGGACGAUAAUGACGGUACCCGGAGAAGAAGCUCCGGCUAACUUCGUGCCAGCAGCCGCGGUAAUACGAAGGGGGCUAGCGUUGCUCGGAAUUACUGGGCGUAAAGGGCGCGUAGGCGGACAGCUUAGUCAGAGGUGAAAGCCCAGGGCUCAACCUUGGAAUUGCCUUUGAUACUGGCUGUCUUGAGUUUGGGAGAGGUGAGUGGAACUCCGAGUGUAGAGGUUAAAUUCGUAGAUAUUCGGAAGAACCCCAGUGGCGAAGGCGACUCACUGGCCCAAUACUGACGCUGAGGCGCGAAAGCGUGGGGAGCAAACAGGAUUAGAUACCCGUGUAGUCC
Molecule: ribosomal RNA, 425 nt
Filed under: uncultured bacterium
Lineage: Bacteria
Description: partial 16S ribosomal RNA
Rfam family: Bacterial small subunit ribosomal RNA
Source: RNAcentral